RNAcentral lists this long non-coding RNA (1572 nucleotides) under Ananas comosus (pineapple). Its description in RNAcentral is "long non-coding RNA (ACOM_LNC005378)". The record is from RNAcentral. Lineage: Eukaryota; Viridiplantae; Streptophyta; Magnoliopsida; Poales; Bromeliaceae.
AUAUAUAUAUAUAUAUAUAUAUAUAUAAUAUUUUAAUUAUAUGUAGGCUGAGUGAGUAAACUGAGGUUAGUUAAAAUUGGGCCAAUAUUACUGGCCCAUAAAAAGAAACCUAAUAGGUAAAUAAAAGGGCAAAAUUUUACUAAAUUUACACACACACACUCUCUCUCUCUCUCUCUUUCUUUCAUAGAGCUCUAAAAAUUCCUUAUCUCUUUCUCUCUCUCUCUCUCUUUCUCUGUCUCUCACCCCAAGUGGCUAAGCCUGAAGGGAACCAACUCACCAAGUAGCAGCAUGCGUCUGCCGUUGCCUACCUUACCAUUAGUUGUGCGCUUGAAAAAAUAUGCAAAAUAUUUUUAAGGUGAAAAUGAUUGGUUAUACAAAAUUUUGAUUUUAGUUAUAUAUGAUUUGAUAAUUUAAUCCAAUAUUUGCCUAUAUAAUUUAUUUAUUUUUUGACCGCAUAUAUGAAAAGGAAUAAUAUGGAGAUUGAAGGCAGAAGAGAAGACAUGCGAAGCUAAAAAGAUUAGAUAUUCGACUCAUAAAUUAUUUUUCUUCAUAUUAUAAUACUGUAUUUUAUAUAAUUAUUUUGUAUUUUAAACUAUUAGAUAUGUUUUUGUAUCAAAUUAUAAAUAAUGUUCUAUACAAAUUAAACUAUUGAUCGUACAAUAUUGAGAAUUUCAAGUGGCUCGUUUAGGGCUCGAGCUUGCUUGACUUGAAAUUAGGCUCGCUCGAGCUCAGCUCGAAUUAAUUUCAAGCCGAACUUGAGCCUAAAUUUAGGCUCAAAACUAAUUUCAUGCCGAAUUUGAGCUGUGAUAAGCUCGCUCGAGCUUGGCUCGUUUCCAUCCCUAGCCACAACUAGCUGUCCCCGCCCCGACGUGCUCUCCCUCUCCGUCAUCCUCAAAUUCUGCAGCAACCUUGCUGUCAUAGCCGUUCGCGGCCAUGUGCUCCGCCGCAGCCUGGCCUUUGCGAUCUAUGCCAUAUUAAAGCUAACGUCGAUGAAGCUGUAGGCGAGGUAAGAGAGCAGAUAUCGGCGUCGAUGUGAGGGCGGCGAAGGAGGAGGAGAAGGGAGAGGAAAUAAGAAGAGAAAGAAAGAAAGAAGCAAUAAAGAGGAGGAAGACGGAACGAGAGAGAAAAAACGAGACAGAGCAAGAAGAAAAAAUCGAAUGAGAAAGAAAAAAAAAGGGACAAAAAGGAAUAAGAGUAUUCUGAUUAGUUUACUAAAAAUUCGGACAGAAUAUUCAAAAUAAGAUCUGCAAAAUCUAGAUUGUAUCAAAUAUAAUGGUUCAAAUUUUAUAUUGAUUAAUCAUAUUGUUCAGUAUAUGUGAAAUAUCGAUGAUGUGUGUGUUUGUGUGUCUCGAUGAUAUGUGUGUUGUCUAUUUUCUAAUUUUAUCGGAUUGAAAAUUAUUUAUUGAAAAAUUGUAAUGUGUAAGAUAAUUACUGAUCUAUUAGUGGCAAUAAUUGUAUUUGUAACUUACUAUAUAUAGUUUGAAGGUGAAAUUAAUAAAAAAUUAAUUAUAAAAAUUUAAUUGAAUUAACAAAUUAAAUUUAGCUAAUUAAUAGUGGCAAUGGAAUUAGUUU